UAGGUUUGCAAUGUUUCAAGAUAAAAAGUUGGGGAAAAAAGAAAUAGAUAUUUAUAGGAAAUAAAAAAUAAAAUAAAUAAAAUUAAAAUAGCAUAUACAAUUUCUAGGAGGAUACGGGAGGAACUGUUGAAUUUCUUCACUUGACUAAACCCGGCAAAUGCUCUGCGCUCUCAGGCGAUCUCCGCGGCGGCUCCGAAGGGGAAAGGCUGGAUCCUCCAAAUCGAAUCCUCUUCCGACUGCCAUGCUGGAAAAGACGUCCUGGGAUUUCAUCCUAAUUAUGUAACAUAUGUUAAAUCCCACUAAACAUUUUACUAAAUCUAACGGUAAGAUUGCCACGGGCGGAGAGUGUUUCCCGGUGUAGAGCUUGGCACAGAGCAGAUGCUCUGUAAGUGUGGGUGAUGAAGGGCCUCGUGGCCUUUAGGACGCGACUACUUAAUUUACUUAUUUGAGAGUCAGAUUAACGAAACUGGGAGGGCUGUGGGUAAUUCGCUUAGUGAAGAACCAGGGCAUCUGCACCCGGAUCGGAGUAAAACGCGUUUUAAACGCGUAAACAGCGUUAAAACGCGCUGUUUCCAUUAUCCUCCUGCUUUUCAAGCUGUUAUUAUCUGGGCAAGUGCUUCCUUUCUCCGCAUUAUGUAUGAGAAACGGCCAGGAAAUGAUGCAAUUACCAAAGGAGUCAAGAAACCUUCCAGCCCAGCCUCAGUUCGGAAGCCCUCAUGAAAUACGAGCAGAAGACAAUAGGAUGAAACUCAGUUUUGAAAGCGUCAGCCGUUACAGUUGGACAAAUGUAACCCUAGAGACCCCGCUCCGGUGCAAAAUGGAAGGAGGCUUAAGUAAAACAGAUAUAAAUUUGUAAUGAACUUGCGCACAACCUCCGGCGCCAUUGUGAAUUACAGCCUUCGUCCAUCACCUAGAAUUUAGGCCUCUGACUGCUGUGGCCUCUCCAGUUGCGGAGCACAGGCUCCAGACGCGCAGGCUCAGUGGCUAUGGCUCACGGGCCCAGCCGCUCCGCGGCAUGUGGGAUCUUCCCGGACCAGGGCACGAACCUGCGUCCCCUGCAUCGGCAGGCGGACUCUCAACCACUGCGCUACCAGGGAAGCCCGCAUACUGGAUUUUUAAGCCUUAGUAUGGAGGGAGGAAGGAAGAAGAAGAAGAAAAAAAAAAAAAAAAAGUAAAAUAUCUCAUUAAUAAUUUUUACAUUGAGCACAUUUUAAAUGCUAAUUGAAUAUGAGUUAAAAUAUUAAAAUUAAUUUCACUUUCUUCUUUGUUUUUAACCUAGCUACUAGAAUAUUUAAAAUUAUUGAUAUAUAGAUAUAUAUGGCUUGCAUUAUAUUUCUAUUUUAUAGUACUAAUCUAGAUUCACCAGUUGUCAAUAUUUUGCCAUAUUUGCUUUCUCUUGAUCUUUUUUCUGAGCCAUUUGAGGUUAGUUGCAGACACCAUGAUACUUUACUUCGAAAAACUAUACCAUAUAUUUCCUAAGAACAAGCAAUACAAUUAUCACACUUAGGAAAUUUAAAUUUAAUACAAUAUUAUUUAUGAUACAGUUCAUAGUCAAAUUUUUCAAUUGUCCUAACACCUUUUAUACUUUUUCAUUUUUAUCCAGGAUCCAUUCAAGGAUUAUACACUGCAUGUAAUUGCCAAGUUUCUGUAGUCUCCUUCCUUUAAUCUGAAACAAUUCCCCAAUUUUUUUUUUUUAUAGCAUUGAAUAGUGGAAGACAUUUGCUUCAGAAAGUCCCUCAAUUUAGACAAGUAUUUCUCUUGUCAGGAAAACUACCUUAAGUGAUAUGUCCUUCUCAGUGCAUUAUAUCAUAAUUCAAAUAAUGCUGAUGUAUUGUGUUAUCUCUAAUGGUAAAUGUGGUAGGCAGAAUAAUGGCUCCCACAGAGAUGUACCUGUCCUAAUCUCCAGAAUAUAUGAAUAUUACUUCACGUGGCAGUAGGAAUUUUGCAGAUGUGUUUAAAUUAAGGAUUUUGAGAGAGAGAUUAGCCUGGAUUAUCUGGGUGGGCCGGAAAUCAUCACAGGGGUCCUUUUCAGUCAAGGAGGGAGACUGGAGGGUUGGAGUCCCAGUGAUGUGAUCCCAGGAAGACUCUACCAGCGUUUAACUGGCUUUGAAGAUGGAGGAAGGGGACCAUGAGCUAAGGAAUGCAAGGGGCCUCUAGAAACUGAAAAAGGCAAGGAAAAUGUUCUCCCUCAGCACCUCCAGAAAGAAAGCAGCUCUGCCAACACCUAGAUUCUGACCCAUGUCAGAAUUCUGGACUACAGAACCGUAAGAUAAUAAAUUUGUGCUGUUGUAAGCCACUAAGUUUGUGGUGAAUUUUUUACAGCACCAAUAGGAAACAAACACAGUAAGUCUGAUCAUUUGGUGAAGGUGUCUGCCAUAUUUCUCCAUUGUAAAGUUACGCUUUACACUUGUGAUUAACAAAUAACAACAACAACAACAACAAAAAGCAAAUAUCACCAUGGAAGUAAUACUUUGAAAAUGUAUGAAUUUUCUGUUCCCCCGCAAAAUUUCACCCAGUGGUUUUAGCAUCCACCGAUGAUGCUUGCCUGAAUCAAUUACUACUCUGUUGACCGCAAAACGGUGUAAUUUUAUUAUUCACCUGUAAAGAACUUUCCUUUCUGUACUCCCUCUUUUUAUUCUUUAUUUAAUUUUAAAAUAUCACUUUGGACUCAUUCUUUUUUUAUUUUUGUGGUUUUAGUCAAUGUGUUAUAAUCUACUGCUGUCAUUAUUAAUACUUAAAUUGUUCCAAAUAUGGCCAGAAGGAGUGUCUGUAAGCUGGCUCCUGUAUUCUUUUGACAUGUCCCUAUAAAUUUUUGAGCAAUUACUUUCUAGCAUAAGAUGGUGCAGGCACACCCUCUACUUUGUAAACUGAUUUAUGGAGAAUUAACAUCUUUAUGCAUGUAUCUUUUCUCUUUUAAUUUCCUUGUUUAAAAUUUUACAUGACCAGGGGCAUACUCUACAUACUCUUCUGUGACCUUUUUUUAAAUUAAUUUCUUUUGAAGCAUGUCCAUUCUUUACAUAAAGAGUUUUUUCAUUAUUUUUGAUAACUGCAUGGUAUUCCAUUGUAUAGAUAUUUUAUUAAAGUAGUUUUAUAUCAUUGGUCAUUUAGAUUAUUUUCAAUUUUUUGCUCUUAACAAAGUACUACAACAAAUAACCUUGGUGCCACAUAAUAGGCAUUUAGUUUUUAUUAAUUGAC
Molecule: non-coding RNA, 3195 nt
Organism: Globicephala melas (long-finned pilot whale)
Lineage: Eukaryota; Metazoa; Chordata; Mammalia; Artiodactyla; Delphinidae
Source: RefSeq, a predicted model, not a curated record